UCCUGGCUCAGGAUGAACGCUAGCGGCAGGCUUAAUACAUGCAAGUCGUGGGGCAGCAUGAGUAGCAAUACUUGAUGGCGACCGGCAAACGGGUGAGGAACACGUUCACAACCUUCCUUCAAGCGGGGAAUAGCCCAGAGAAAUUUGGAUUAAUACCCCAUAAUAUAUUUGAUAAGGCAUCUUAUUAAUAUUAAAAGCUUCGGCACUUGAUGAUGGGUGUGCGGCUGAUUAGAUAGUUGGCGGGGUAACGGCCCACCAAGUCUACGAUCAGUAGCUGAUGUGAGAGCAUGAUCAGCCACACGGGCACUGAGACACGGGCCCGACUCCUACGGGAGGCAGCAGUAAGGAAUAUUGGACAAUGGACGAAAGUCUGAUCCAGCCAUGCCGCGUGAAGGAUUAAGGUCCUCUGGAUUGUAAACUUCUUUUAUAUGGGACGAAAAAGGGCAUUCUUGUUCACUUGACGGUACCAUAUGAAUAAGCACCGGCUAACUCCGUG
Molecule: ribosomal RNA, 496 nt
Filed under: uncultured bacterium
Lineage: Bacteria
Description: bacterial SSU rRNA
Rfam family: Bacterial small subunit ribosomal RNA
Source: RNAcentral